AGUGAACGCUGGCGGUAGGCCUAACACAUGCAAGUCGAACGGCAGCACAGUAAGAGCUUGCUCUUACGGGUGGCGAGUGGCGGACGGGUGAGGAAUACAUCGGAAUCUACUUUUUCGUGGGGGAUAACGUAGGGAAACUUACGCUAAUACCGCAUACGACCUACGGGGGAAAGCAGUGGAUCUUCGGACCUUGCGCGAUUGAAUGAGCCGAUGUCGGAUUAGCUAGUUGGCGGGGUAAAGGCCCACCAAGGCGACGAUCCGUAGCUGGUCUGAGAGGAUGGUCGGCCACACUGGAACUGAGCCACGGUCCAGACUCCUACGGGAGGCAGCAGUGGGGAAUAUUGGACAAUGGGCGCGAGCCUGAUCCAGCCAUACCGCGUGGGUGAAGAAGGCCUUCGGGUUGUAAAGCCCUUUUGUUGGGAAAGAAAAGCAGCAGGUUAAUACCCCGCUGUUCUGACGGUACCCAAAGAAUAAGCACCGGCUAACUUCGUG
Molecule: ribosomal RNA, 492 nt
Filed under: uncultured bacterium
Lineage: Bacteria
Description: partial 16S ribosomal RNA
Rfam family: Bacterial small subunit ribosomal RNA
Source: RNAcentral